This is a non-coding RNA of Vicia faba (fava bean), 333 nucleotides long. The record is from the annotation of a GenBank genome assembly. Lineage: Eukaryota; Viridiplantae; Streptophyta; Magnoliopsida; Fabales; Fabaceae.
AACACAUUGCUUAAGCCCAAUACAGAAAUUAGCAAAGUCUGUCAAGGAAAAUCGUUGAGUCCACCAAGUAAAUCCCUAAAUUCUCAUAUCAGUAUAAAUACAACCAUUGCACUGAAAUCAAAAAAGGAAGAAAGUUUUAUUCAGAAAAUCAAAGAAGAUACACAUAAUCUCUUACGUCCAUCAUUUUCUAGAAACAAAAAAAAACCUAAAACAUUCAAUCAUCAUCAUCUUCCACUUAUUCACAAAAACCCUUCAGAAAAAUCAAAGGCCGCAAGUUCAGAAGAAGAUAGAGAACCGAUAUACAAGCCCAAAAUCAAAAAGAUCUUACCAUAA